This 301-nucleotide ribosomal RNA is filed under the name uncultured bacterium. RNAcentral describes it as "partial 16S ribosomal RNA". It matches the Rfam family "Bacterial small subunit ribosomal RNA", at positions 509 to 807 of the family's 1533-position model. The record is from RNAcentral.
CAGCAGCCACGGUAAUACAGAGGGUGCAAGCGUUAAUCGGAAUUACUGGGCGUAAAGCGCGCGUAGGUGGUUUGUUAAGUUGGAUGUGAAAUCCCCGGGCUCAACCUGGGAACUGCAUCCAAAACUGGCAAGCUAGAGUACGGCAGAGGGUGGUGGAAUUUCCUGUGUAGCGGUGAAAUGCGUAGAUAUAGGAAGGAACACCAGUGGCGAAGGCGACCACCUGGACUGAUACUGACACUGAGGUGCGAAAGCGUGGGGAGCAAACAGGAUUAGAUACCCCUGUAGUCCCUGUCUCUUAUAC